Molecule: ribosomal RNA, 372 nt
Filed under: uncultured organism
Description: bacterial SSU rRNA
Rfam family: Bacterial small subunit ribosomal RNA
Source: RNAcentral
CAGAGGUCUCAAGCGUUGUUCGGAUUCAUUGGGCGUAAAGGGUGCGUAGGCUGCGAGGCAAGUCAGGUGUGAAAUCCCGGGGCUCAACCCCGGAACUGCACUUGAUACUGCCGUGCUAGAGUACUGGAAGGGAGACUGGAAUUUACGGUGUAGCAGUGAAAUGCGUAGAUAUCGUAAGGAAGACCAGUGGCGAAGGCGAGUCUCUGGACAGUUACUGACGCUGAGGCACGAAGGCCAGGGGAGCAAACGGGAUUAGAUACCCCGGUAGUCCUGGCAGUAAACGGUGCGCGUUUGGUGUGGGAGGAUUCGACCCCUUCCGUGCCGGAGCUAACGCGUUAAACGCGCCGCCUGGGGAGUACGGUCGCAAGAUUA